GGCAAAAGUUGUGUUUACAAGGCAGCUGUAUAGGUUCCACGAAUACAUGCAAACAGAUGGGACAAAUAAGUUCCUCCUCGAAGCAGUUUUUCCAGUUCUCCGCCAUGAUGGCGGAUUCAGUGGAUCAUGGUAACUCUGCUGGCUUCUACUUCUCUCUUCUUGAAGCCACGCAUUCCCUCCAUCAGUCUCACAUUUCCUCGUGAAGGUCUGAGUCACACAGACUAAUUAAGACCUCAGCAUGGCUGGUAUUCUUGGGCUGACGGGACAAGCUGAGACGACGUAGACCACGUGUUUGACAGGAGCCACCCAGCACUGAAGAGAAAAGAUGUCAGAACAUCCACCUAUUUUCUGCAUUUCCUCACAGUGGAUUGUGCUAUGUUCAAUCAUGUCACCACAAUGAAACAAUUGUUUUAUUUUUAUUUUAUGUAAAUAAUGCACUUUAGGAUUACAAACAGUUGUUUUGACAUAAAAACAGUAGGCCUAUA
Alosa sapidissima (American shad) is the source of this 485-nucleotide long non-coding RNA. RefSeq lists it as uncharacterized. The transcript is spliced from 2 exons. The record is from RefSeq and is a predicted model, not a curated record. NCBI's taxonomy places the organism in Eukaryota, Metazoa, Chordata, Actinopteri, Clupeiformes, Clupeidae.